This 231-nucleotide ribosomal RNA is filed under the name uncultured bacterium. RNAcentral's name for it is "partial 16S ribosomal RNA". It matches the Rfam family "Bacterial small subunit ribosomal RNA", at positions 99 to 334 of the family's 1533-position model. The record is from RNAcentral.
CGGACGGGUGAGUAAUGUCUGGGAAACUGCCCGAUGGAGGGGGAUAACUACUGGAAACGGUAGCUAAUACCGCAUAACGUCGCAAGACCAAAGAGGGGACCUUCGGGCCUCUUGCCAUCGGAUGUGCCCAGAUGGGAUUAGCUAGUAGGUGGGGUAACGGCUCACCUAGGCGACGAUCCCUAGCUGGUCUGAGAGGAUGACCAGCCACACUGGAACUGAGGCACGGUCCAG